RNAcentral lists this ribosomal RNA (235 nucleotides) under uncultured Glomus. RNAcentral's name for it is "partial 18S ribosomal RNA". It matches the Rfam family "Eukaryotic small subunit ribosomal RNA", at positions 548 to 785 of the family's 1831-position model. The record is from RNAcentral. Lineage: Eukaryota; Fungi; Glomeromycota; Glomeromycetes; Glomerales; Glomeraceae.
UUGGAGGGCAAGUCUGGUGCCAGCAGCCGCGGUAAUUCCAGCUCCAAUAGCGUAUAUUAAAGUUGUUGCAGUUAAAAAGCUCGUAGUUGAAUUUCGGGGUUAGUAGGUUGGUCAUGCCUCUGGUAUGUACUGGUCUCACUGAUUCCUCCUUCCUGAUGAGCCGUAAUGCCAUUAAUUUGGUGUUGCGAGGAAUCUGGACUGUUACUUUGAAAAAAUUAGAGUGUUUAAAGCAGGC